This 45-nucleotide non-coding RNA is filed under the name Echinostoma caproni. The record is from RNAcentral. Lineage: Eukaryota; Metazoa; Platyhelminthes; Trematoda; Plagiorchiida; Echinostomatidae.
GCACUGAUGACGAGUCCCAAACAGGAAGAAACAGCUGUCCUGUGC